GAGCAGAAACAGCUAAUCAGGUGUUUCCAUCUCACACUGAGCAUGGUACCACCUUAUCAGCCAGGUGACAGAUUCCCUCACCUGCAGAUGUCUUCAGCCCCCCGGGACCCCCCUGCUCUGUAAACAGCCGUUUGGUGGGAAAGUUUGGUCCAUCCGUCUCUCUUCCUGUCAGGUAAGAUGAGCCGAGGCGGCUGCAGUCCACUGAUCGAUCGUCUUCUGCAGACUGCUGUCAGACUUCUUCUUCUUCUGCUGCUGCUGCUGCUGCUGCU
This is a long non-coding RNA of Scatophagus argus, 269 nucleotides long. RefSeq lists it as uncharacterized. The transcript is spliced from 3 exons. NCBI's taxonomy places the organism in Eukaryota, Metazoa, Chordata, Actinopteri, Scatophagidae. The record is from RefSeq and is a predicted model, not a curated record.